UGGGGAAUUUUGGACAAUGGGGGAAACCCUGAUCCAGCCAUCCCGCGUGUGCGAUGAAGGCCUUCGGGUUGUAAAGCACUUUUGGCAGGAAAGAAACGUCAUGGGUUAAUACCCCGUGAAACAGACGGUACCUGCAGAAUAAGCACCGGCUAACUACGUGCCAGCAGCCGCGGUAAUACGUAGGGUGCAAGCGUUAAUCGGAAUUACUGGGCGUAAAGCGUGCGCAGGCGGUUCGGAAAGAAAGAUGUGAAAUCCCAGAGCUCAACUUUGGAACUGCAUUUUUAACUACCGGGCUAGAGUGUGUCAGAGGGAGGUGGAAUUCCGCGUGUAGCAGUGUAAUGCGUAGAUAUGCGGAGGAACACCGAUGGCGAAGGCAGCCUCCUGGGAUAACACUGACGCUCAUGCACGAAAGCGUGGGGAGCAAACAGG
RNAcentral lists this ribosomal RNA (429 nucleotides) under Acidobacteriota bacterium. RNAcentral describes it as "Acidobacteria bacterium partial 16S ribosomal RNA". It matches the Rfam family "Bacterial small subunit ribosomal RNA", at positions 355 to 776 of the family's 1533-position model. Lineage: Bacteria; Pseudomonadati; Acidobacteriota. The record is from RNAcentral.